This 483-nucleotide ribosomal RNA is filed under the name uncultured bacterium. Its description in RNAcentral is "bacterial SSU rRNA". It matches the Rfam family "Bacterial small subunit ribosomal RNA", at positions 23 to 507 of the family's 1533-position model. The record is from RNAcentral.
CUCAGGAUGAACGCUAGCGGGAGGCCUAACACAUGCAAGCCGAGCGGUAUUUCUUCUUCGGAAGAGAGAGAGCGGCGUACGGGUGCGGAACACGUGUGCAACCUGCCUUUAUCUGGGGGAUAGCCUUUCGAAAGGAAGAUUAAUACCCAUAAUAUAUUUGAUGGCAUCAUUAGAUAUUGAAAACUCCGGUGGAUAGAGAUGGGCACGCGCAAGAUUAGAUAGUUGGUGGGGUAACGGCCCACCAAGUCGAUGAUCUUUAGGGGGCCUGAGAGGGUGAUCCCCCACACUGGUACUGAGACACGGACCAGACUCCUACGGGAGGCAGCAGUGAGGAAUAUUGGACAAUGGGUGAGAGCCUGAUCCAGCCAUCCCGCGUGAAGGAAUAAGGUCCUAUGGAUUGUAAACUUCUUUUCUACAGGGAUAAACCUAUUUACGUGUAAAUAGCUGAAGGUACUGUAGGAAUAAGCACCGGCUAACUCCGUG